AUUCAUGUCUUAGUAACGGCGAGUGAAGCGGCAAAAGCUCAAAUUUGAAAUCUGGCACCUUCGGUGUCCGAGUUGUAAUUUGAAGAAGGUAACUUUGGAGUUGGCUCUUGUCUAUGUUCCUUGGAACAGGACGUCACAGAGGGUGAGAAUCCCGUGCGAUGAGAUGCCCAAUUCUAUGUAAAGUGCUUUCGAAGAGUCGAGUUGUUUGGGAAUGCAGCUCUAAGUGGGUGGUAAAUUCCAUCUAAAGCUAAAUAUUGGCGAGAGACCGAUAGCGAACAAGUACAGUGAUGGAAAGAUGAAAAGAACUUUGAAAAGAGAGUGAAAAAGUACGUGAAAUUGUUGAAAGGGAAGGGCUUGAGAUCAGACUUGGUAUUUUGCGAUCCUUUCCUUCUUGGUUGGGUUCCUCGCAGCUUACUGGGCCAGCAUCGGUUUGGAUGGUAGGAUAAUGACUAAGGAAUGUGGCUCUACUUCGGUGGAGUGUUAUAGCCUUGGUUGAUACUGCCUGUCUAGACCGAGGACUGCGUCUUUUGACUAGGAUCAUUGCCUAAUGAUAUUAAGCCACCGGGU
Molecule: ribosomal RNA, 567 nt
Filed under: Debaryomyces sp.
Lineage: Eukaryota; Fungi; Ascomycota; Pichiomycetes; Serinales; Debaryomycetaceae
Description: eukaryotic LSU rRNA
Rfam family: Eukaryotic large subunit ribosomal RNA
Source: RNAcentral